RNAcentral lists this ribosomal RNA (262 nucleotides) under uncultured bacterium. RNAcentral's name for it is "partial 16S ribosomal RNA". It matches the Rfam family "Bacterial small subunit ribosomal RNA", at positions 524 to 776 of the family's 1533-position model. The record is from RNAcentral.
UACGUAGGGGGCAAGCGUUGUCCGGAUUUAUUGGGCGUAAAGAGCGUGUAGGCGGUUUGGUAGGUCCGCUGUGAAAACUCGAGGCUCAACCUCGAGACGCCGGUGGAAACCAUCAGACUAGAGUCCGGAAGAGGAGAGCGGAAUUCCUGGUGUAGCGGUGAAAAUGCGCAGAUAUCAGGGAAGAACACCCCGUGGCGAAAGGCGGCUCUCUGGGGACGGGUAACUGACGCUGAGACGCGAAAAGCGUGGGGGAGCGAACAGG